GAGCACUCGCGACUCGUCAACCAGUCAGCGGUCCCGCCCAUCCUUCACGCGAAGCUCUGAGACCGGUGCGGCGGCGGCGGCGGUUGUUGUAUCUGCGGCUGCUGCUGUUCCCUGUCCUCUCUCGUCAGCGUCAACGUCAACAUCUUCAGAGCCUACUGUCGUGUUGUCAUCCAAUCUACAAACUGGUUGUACAUCCUUCCCAAGAUGAACAGAAUGAACUGCCUGCUCAACUUGCUCGUUUGCCUGUUUGCUGCUGUUGAAAUUACCAUAGCCGGUCGCCUCAAGGUGCAGUGCAGCGAAGACAGAGUCACAGCCAAAGCUGGAGAUGAUGAUGUUAUCCAGUGUCGAUUUAAGACUGGGAAUAAGAUUGGCAGUGUGGCGUUUGUUUGGAAGAAGGCAGAUACAAUGGGAAUUGUCUACAUUUACCCAAGGAACCAAAGCAACCAGACGGAGCAAGAUCCAAGUUUUCGCAACCGCACUGAAGUCUUUCCCAACGAGAUUCCCAAUGGGAACUUGUCCCUGAGACUGAGGAACAUGUCUCUGUUAGACAGUGGAAUCUAUAAACUCCACGUCUCCAGCCGAUCACAAGACUCCGAUGCACAAGUCUUCCUCAGUAUCCGAGUAUCUUUCCACAGUGGCCCAGCAAGUCCAGAAAAUCGUGUGUGGGAUUGGGAUCAUGGCCUGAGACUCUUUGCUAUUACUUGUGGUCGUAUGUCAGAGCCCUAACACAAUGUGCCACAUUGCUGACUUCUUAUUCUUCAGUGCUUUAUAAAAGCAGAAGGGAUCUGGAGAUGAGUACUUUCAACUGGAAGUACUGCUUCUCCCAUCUGGACAAGGUAAUUUAAAACCUAUGCCAUGCCUUGUGCCUCGGAAUGCGUUGUGUCUGUCGUCUGGUUGAGCUGAUUAAAAGUAAAGUAUAAUCGGUACCCUCUUAUUGAUUAUCGUAAGAUACAGGUUUGAUCAAUGAGAAAUAUAAUGGUCCUUCUUUAACACCAGGAAUGAGAGCAUGGUUGCUCUCUGAGUAAAACGGUUUGUAUUAAUGCCUCUGUUCCUGGGAAUUGGUUAUCGUUGGCAGGCAAGCAUCCAAGUCCAUUACUCUGGUCGCCCAGAGAUGGGGUGAUGACUGGGAUGUUUCGGAGGCAGAAAGAAAUGGAUGAUGUUGGAGAGAGUCUGGGGGUCAAGUAUUAGUCCAUAAUAAAAAAACAGAAUUUUCAAUAUAGUGGGCAUUUUCAAUAUGGUUGGGAUUUUAUAGAAAUCUGGUACUUUUGUAGCCACUUUCUGCUAGCGCAAGCUUUUUGUCUUUAAAUUUCUGAAUAUGUUCAUUUGUUCAUCAGAGGUAAGGGAAAUAAAAUGAUAUUACAGAGCUGAAGUAAGUGAUCUUGGUUGAGGUUCAGCUCGAGGUUGAAGCUGUGCAGACUUUUAAAUGUUUUGUUGAACAGUGCAGAAAGCAAUUGGGUUCACCUCUUUUUCCUGUGACAAUGUUUCAAACUUCCACUGUUGGGGUGUAGAAAGAACCUGCUGCUGAGUGAUAUGAGGCUUCAAGUCAGGGCUGUAGCCUGUAUAGCAGACAUUACUAGGCAGCCUUUGUAUUUUCCCGGUAGCAGGCAGGAAGGGAUGUGCAGUUGAGAUGCAUGCUAGUUUUGGUGAAAGUCAGCAAAGAAGCUGUAUUUCCCAGCGAGAGAGGGUAUUUGAAGUUUUUGUGGGAUCUUGUCAAAGGAAUUUGUACAGCAUCAAACUGAACAACCAAUACUGGUUAAGGGAAUUCAGGGAAUUAAAAUUUACUCUUUACGAGAUUUGUGCAAAAAGUAAACUAUCUUUUCAAUUCAUUUCUUGACACAUACGCAGAUGACCCAGUUUCGCAUGAUGAAAAAUUGUGUUGUGGAACAUUUUCUGGGAACUUAACUGCCCCAAUAAUCCCAACGUCACUUGUAAUGUAGUUUUAAAAUGUUGUAAUGGAGGUGACCCAGCUAAUUUUCACACAAGAUUCCACAAAAGGGACUACUUUACCAACAUGGUCAUUUGUUCUGGUGAAUUGGAAUUUGGGAUUGGUGUAAGACAGGUGAGAAUUCAGAACCGUUUGAAAAUAAUUAUCUUUUCAAACCUUCCCUGAAUGAGAGUUUAAAAAUAAGAUGGCACAUCAGAUGUUGCAACAGAUCUUUGGUACUGCGCUGAGGUGUUGACCUCGAUUUUGUGUGCAAGUACCUGGAUUGGGGGCUUGGAGCGGGCUACCCUCCGAGCCAUGCUGAAUCAUUCCAUCCAUUAUCUGUGAUUUUCACACAUUUUCUGUCAUACAUAAGGGAGUAGAAGGGAAGGGAUAAUGUUGAGAGUUAGUGCAUGUUGAGAGUUUGAUUUCAGGAAAAUGGGGAACAUGGCAUGGUGUCAGCAAGGAAUUGCUGAAUGGAAGGAGGAGUGACUGCUCUGUUCAGAUGUGAAGAGGGUGGGGAUAGGUGCUGGUUGUUGGUAGUCCAGCUACUCCUCUUGGCAAUGUAAGCAGGAUUAGUGCACAAGCUAGAAAUAACCAGGAUGUAGCUGAAAGAUUUGGUUUCCCAUUCAUUUGUAAAUGUGUGACAGAUCAAUGACUUGAAUGAAUUGAAAGUAGUUGUAUGUCCUUCAUAUUGUGGAGUGCAAGGGUACUGAGUUUCUUUUCUGUGCCAGCUCCUGUCCUACAGUGGCUCUGGGGCAAGGGUUGGUCCCCAGCCAAGGCUGAUAUACCGAACGAUGUACACAGGAGGCUGGGAGCGCAAGAGAGCAGGAUUGAGCAAGGAACGGAAGUCUGAAUACAUAACAAGAUUCUUUUGCCAGGGCAAUGAUGGAAGAACCAGCAGGCUAAUCUCUUGGUUAGCCUUCGAUCUGCUGCUUCAGCUGCCGUGCUUUAACAUCUCUUGGAAUUUAACCUGACCAGAAAACAUGAUGCUUUACCAGAACAAAGAAAGAAACGACUUGCUGAAGAAUAUUCAAUUUGAAUUAACUUGUUUAUCAGUGCCACUUCCCUUUAGGUCUCAUCAUUUAAUAAAAUUGAUAGGCAGAGCAGACCUCCAUUUAUCCCAUGUCCCAAUUAAAUCAUCCCUUGUCUUUCUAUAUUGCAAGAAUAAUUUUCCCUUCUUCCCAAUUUCUCUGUAUAACUUAGUCCUUUGAACAGUAGUCUCCAUAUCUUUUCCCAUGCCUUUACCCUCUUCCUGGAGCCCAAAGAUAGACUAAGUCAUACCAUUUGACUUUUUAUUUUGCUAUCCAGCACCUGUUUGCAAAGUCCUUUCAUGAAUCCAUUUAAACUCAAGAUCUCCAUCACUUUUUUUGUCCCUCACUACUCUCUCCUCACAACAAGUCUAAAAUUGAUCAACGAUUCACAAGCUGAGCCCAGAUGGACAACAUUGCCAAGGCGAUCCAGUGAGGUAAGAUUCCUUGUGCUUUGUUGGCAUAGUUUAAACUGUUUACUUUUGCCUUGCAGCUCUCGGCACCCAACCAGUCAUUCAUUCGUCUGGUGAUGAUCUGGGCCUGUUGGUGCUGGUCUGCGAGUCCUCCGGGUGGUACCCAGCUCCCAGCGUCACCUGGGAAAAUGGAUUGGGGGAGAAUCUGACCAGGCACUCGCACACAGAGCUUUUUAACUGCACAAGUGGCAGUGUCUGUGUGAAGAGCACGCUGGAACUGGUGAACUGGCCCACCGGCAACUACACGUGCACAAUGUGGGACCAGCAGUUGGACGAAGGAUUAUCGUCAACUUUUUCCUUAAUUCACAGGAUUCCGUUGGGAACGGUAAUUGGUGCGACUGGUGCCAGCGUCUGCGCGCUUGUUCUGAUUAUAGCUGUUUGUUGGAGUUGGUGGUAACUGGACAAUGUGAUUGGGGUCCUGUGGUUCCUCCUGUGUGACUGUCUGUAUCACUGAAGACUCUGUUGGUUUAAAGGAUGCCUCUGGUGCGGAUGCAGGACAAACUUGAAAGGGGGUGAAAAGGACUUGGCUCCACUUUGUAGACAACAAGGACUCAUUCUCCUUCCCCUUUGUGCCAUCAGAGCCAACUGGGUUCCAGCAUUCAUCCCUCCUGAGAGCAGCAAUUCCUGCAUUAAACUCUGCACAGGCAAUGAUGCUGUCGGAAAAGAUACAAAAACAUAAAAGACUGGUGCUAUGUUAAUAGGUUUGUUUUUGCACUUUACAGUGUUGUCCGAGCACUGUGUGUGUCAAGUGUUCCAAUGAUAAACCUGUGUUUCACUUAAGCAACUGACCUUUGUAAUCGGGGACAUUGCAAAUCAAUUUCUGGCAACUUUCGAAUUUUCACUUUAUAAUGAUUCUAUAGCUUUAGCAGUGAAACAACAAUUAUAGAUUUACCAUUGAGUUGCCCACUUCAAUGAGCCAUACAUGGCUUGUCUUAAAUUAGGACAACUUGCCACAUAGAGGGAGGAAGGUUGAUCUGGUAUUGUCACGAUUCUUAAGAAAAUUACAGGAAUGCUCCUUAAGAUGUUGCUGUGAUGGUAGAUAAUCUGUAUUGUUGGGGUUGAUUGAUCCCAGAAGUAUUGUAAUUGAGAAGGUGUUUAUCUCUGCACAAUUAUCACACUGUCCUUUGUAACCAAGUCCUGUCUGUGGUUUGGGAGUAAUGUUUCUAAACAAUCCAGUGUUCCAGCUAAUCUCUCUACCUCUCAUUUCUAUCACUUUCUGAGAAUUCUUGAGAGUUUUUCUGUACCAGGUGGCCUCUAUUUCCCGGCCCUCAUAUGACACAAAUCGCCACAUCGGUCAAACUGUGACUAAUAAGUUAAAAUCCUGGGAACUGCAGAGAUUUUGAACAUACCAGCAGCCCAAUAACCCCGGUCCACCCAGUGACUCAUUUCACAGCAUGGUUAGAACUCAUCUUACUGCUCUUCUCUCUCCACUUAGUUCUGUGUGUACUGCUUCUCUAACUGGUUUACAAAGUGCCGAACUCGAUCUGGAAGUAAAGCUUUCUUUUCAUUAGCUGCUAACUUUUGUUGUAGCUGAUCGAGGAUGGUCUAAUUAUUUAAGAAGAUUUCACUUGACUCUCAAUGCUUUAAAACACUUUUUCUGAAGCCUCCUCAUGGCAUGCAGUGCUCCAGAAAAAGCAGGACCAGAACAGGGCAUGGUUUUCUAUCCCAAUCUGUCAGUGAGUUCAUGGCCAAUGUAACCACCAAUUAAUGCCCCAGAUCAUUGAUACCUCGUGUGAACAUGUAAAUAUUUUGAUAUUUAUAAUGUCUGGAGGCUGUCACUAUCUGUGGCUUCACAUCAUUCUGGUAAAUCUACACUGGUGACUCUAUCCCACUAUAAAGUUUGCCAUUGGUCAAGCUGUGGUCUAUGCUUUGUACAAGUUUAUCAUUGAUGUAAAAUAAAUUAUUCGUUUUUCAGGAUGUAGCUCUUGUAAUGUAUGUCUCAGGAUGUAAGAUCACUUUUUUUUGCACAUUGGGAGGUGUGCUACUACUUAUGUUCUUCACUGCAGCAGAGAGAUUAGUUGGGCAAUCAGCAGGUCAAAUACAUGGGAUGUUAGACACUUACAGGCCCAAAGUAGAAGACAUCGGGUCUCCUUCUCUGAAGGCCUCAAGUGAGCUGGUGGGGUUUCCAAGUCAAUUUGAAGAUAAAUUACUGAAGGCAGGUAUUUUUGCUUAAAAUGAAGAUAAAAUCAGCAAUUUUCUCUGCCUGUGGUGACACUUGAAGUUCUUUGGGUUGUUGGUCCUGUACCAUAAUAUCUACACACCACCCUUUGUCUCCAUUGCAAUCUCAAUUUUUUUCUCUCUCUUCUGCACCAUUACACUGUCAGGAGUUUCUGGUUUUGAUCUGAGCUCUAUAAGUUCUAGGUAGAAGGGUCUCGACCCGAAACGUCGCCUAUUCCUUCUCUCCAUAGAUGCUGCCUCACCCGCAUAGUUUCCCCAUCCUUUUUUUGUCUACCUUCGAUUUUUCCAGUAUCUGCAUUUCUUUCUUAAGUAUAAGUUGAUUAGACUGAUUUGAAUGACAAGCAUUGACCUUACCCCACUGCGUUACUGCUUCAAGAAAUUAUCCAGUAUGAGAAUUGAUUACUUCUGUUCACAACCUCAUUGGUGCAGACAUGAAUCCAAUUCAUUCAGUUCAAAGACUACAUUCUUUCCUAACCAACUUCUGCAUGUUAGUUUUGUGUUAACAGCAUAGGUUUAGAUAUUAUUUCAUUGUUCAUAUCCACAUUAAACCAAGAUUGGGUUAGUUUUAGUCACUGAUGCCUUGAGUUGAGCAAAAUGAGGCAAUUGGCAAUAAUUACGUUUUAAGAUCUGGGUUGUUGAGUUUCUGCUCAGAUGAAACUAACAAGGAAUGUGCACAAUCAACUUUCACUUUCAUACCGAUACCUUCAAAUUUACCAACGUCCUGAAGCUUUGUAAUUGGUACCACUGGCAUAGGUGGUACGGUUGCCAAUUCUGGUCAUGCAUAUACCAGGAAGCCAACACGGAUGCUGGGCCAUUGAAUGGAUCUGUGCCAGCCAUAGGGUCAAACACAGGAAGCAAACUGAGUGGCUGACUGUAAAGACUGUUCAGAGCUUGUUUUUCAGUCCGUUUACAGAUUGGACUGCCUGACACAGAGGAGCAAGAGUUGAGAUCGACCUUUUGUGCCUAAUCUGUCACACAAUUACGUUGAAUGUAUUUUUACUUUAUUGAUUGCUCUUAGUUCUGUAACCUUUAAUACCCUUGCCAAACAAAGCUCUUAUCACGAGGAGCUUGUUAAUCUUGUUUGUCUUUUGAUGUUUUUUGUUCCCUUUUGAUUCAGGCGUUUUGAAAUUGAAUUACAUGCAUUAUUUAAUGUC
RNA transcript from Amblyraja radiata (thorny skate), 6757 nucleotides. It is a transcript of the gene named CD276 antigen-like, with no coding region annotated. Lineage: Eukaryota; Metazoa; Chordata; Chondrichthyes; Rajiformes; Rajidae. The record is from RefSeq and is a predicted model, not a curated record. The transcript has 7 exons.